UCAGAACUGAGAACCCACUAGGCAGCCAUUAUCUGCCUCCUGUCCAAACACAUGUGAGCCACAUCCAGAGGAAACCCAGAGUCAGUAGCGGCUUGACCAGGACUCAUCAUCCUCAGCUGCAUGACAGAUCCCAAAGGCAUUAGAAAACAAGACGAGCAGGAACGAUAGGCUAUUAUUGCAGCUGCUGUGCUGGUUCUCUGCCCAGCUACAGGCGCAGCGGCGUCAAGAACUUCUCGUUGAUGAAGACGGAUGGGCAAGAGGAAGACGUGUAUCCACCAAGACUCGAGGUGCUGAAGCUUCUGCUGGCUGGACCACCAGGGCUGCUGCAGCCAUCGUGUUCAGAGGAUGUCACCACCGAGCUCCCCCUGUUCUGGUUCCAUGAUGCCUGCCAAGACGAGAGAGAGCUGCUGCUGAGGCUGCUGAAUUCAUUGGAGCGGCUGGUCAUCCUGGCCGGUGGUGGGGAAGUAGGGGAAGGUGUAUGAACUAAGCUGCCUGCUGCUGCUGCCGGGAAAGAGAAGUGGCACCUUGGAGAAUAUGGUCUGUUUAAUUCCUGCCUCCACUGAGCUGGGGUUAGCUAAUGCAUUACAAACACCUGCUCUGCUAUGUUCAUAAA
Molecule: long non-coding RNA, 613 nt
Organism: Mauremys reevesii (Reeves's turtle)
Lineage: Eukaryota; Metazoa; Chordata; Testudines; Geoemydidae
Exons: 3
Source: RefSeq, a predicted model, not a curated record